AACGAACGCUGGCGGCAUGCCUAACACAUGCAAGUCGAACGAGAUCUUCGGGUCUAGUGGCGCACGGGUGCGUAACGCGUGCGAAUCUGCCCUUUGGUUCGGAAUAACAGUUAGAAACGACUGCUAAUACCGGUUGAUGACGAAAGUCCAAAGAUUUAUCGCCAGAGGAUGAGCCCGCGUAGGAUUAGCUAGUUGGUGUGGUAAAGGCGCACCAAGGCGACGAUCCUUAGCUGGUCUGAGAGGAUGAUCAGCCACACUGGGACUGAGACACGGCCCAGACUCCUACGGGAGGCAGCAGUGGGGAAUAUUGGAAAAUGGGCGAAAGCAUGAUCAAGCAAUGCCGCGUGAGUGAUGAAGGCCUUAGGGUUGUAAAGCUCUUUUACCCGGGAUGAUAAUGACAGUACCGGGAGAAUAAGCUCCGGCUAACUCCGUGCCAGCCGCCGCCGUAA
This 449-nucleotide ribosomal RNA is filed under the name uncultured bacterium. Its description in RNAcentral is "partial 16S ribosomal RNA". It matches the Rfam family "Bacterial small subunit ribosomal RNA", at positions 29 to 523 of the family's 1533-position model. The record is from RNAcentral.